This 72-nucleotide transfer RNA is filed under the name Magnetovibrio sp. RNAcentral describes it as "tRNA-Gln". It matches the Rfam family "tRNA". Rfam says of the family: Transfer RNA (tRNA) molecules are approximately 80 nucleotides in length. The record is from RNAcentral. Lineage: Bacteria; Pseudomonadati; Pseudomonadota; Alphaproteobacteria; Rhodospirillales; Magnetovibrionaceae.
GGUUUCGUAGUGUAGAGGUUAGCACAUUGGAUUUUGAUUCCAAUAUCCCGGGUUCGACUCCCGGCGGAACCU